Branchiostoma floridae (Florida lancelet) is the source of this 1439-nucleotide long non-coding RNA. RefSeq lists it as uncharacterized. The record is from RefSeq and is a predicted model, not a curated record. The transcript is spliced from 3 exons. Lineage: Eukaryota; Metazoa; Chordata; Leptocardii; Amphioxiformes; Branchiostomatidae.
UCGCGUAUCAAAUACCAGUAAGUCGAGUCGGCAGGUAACUGCCUGGGGCUUGAAAAGGUGUGCAGUCAACAGGUGGGGGACGGAAAAAUCGCAUUCCUAUAAAAUCGUCUAUAUUAUGUGAUAGUAUUGGAUAUUAUCUUCACCUAAUGCUGUGAAAGGAUUCUAGCAGUUGUUGGACGAGUAAAUUUGAAGUCAGAACCUCUGGAAACGCGGCGGAAAGGGAAUUUCGUCUGCUUCAUGUGGUUACUUCUCCAGGGCCAAACUGGAAGCACUGUGAACUGGGAGGAACUUCUCGUUUCUCAACAGCGCCAUUGUGGAUCUAGACGGAGGUAAACUGAGAAUGUUGCGACGUGUUUUCCGUUUUCGUUUAAAAACCAUGAUGUACCAGCGGUCUUCGCAAAAAGACUACAUAAACAGAGGCGUUCUUGGAUCAUUUGUGAGGAUUUGUCCGCUGAUAUAUGUUUAAACCAUCAGGAAGACUGUCUUGUGUUUGGUUCUUUUGGAUCCUUUCAUGAUUCGGUUCAAUAAAAUGGCGUCCACGGAGGAAUUAGUCUCAACAGUUUUUAUUUUUUGCGGUGAAUCUAGGAAAAGGUAAGGUUGUUUCGACUUCGUAAAAACACGCGACUCUCCCCUUGAGUGUUCGUCGACCAGUGGCUUUUGACUUUUAAGUUAAGAUUCUGUUAAUAACCUAGUUUACUCAUAGCUGUGGAUUUUCCAGCUUAUUCCGGGGGACUUUUGUACCUGCGUGUAUGGACAAAUGACCACGAGCCUGAUCUACAUGUAAGACAUAUUUUACACUGAUUAUUUCUUGAUAUAUUCAAGUUCAACUUGAGGCCUAAAUUAGUUAACAAUGAAAUGUCAUUACAUAUUGGACACUUCGGACUAGAUUUGGACCAUUGCAGGGAUUGGCUGAGUCCGAGUUUGACCGUUUAUGUGUUAAGCAUAACUAGUACUAUUGUGAGAGGUUGUCGAGGUGUGGGGCAGAGGAGGUCAAAAGUUACGUAAAUGGCUGCCGUGUUUGUGGCAGGAGAUGGAAGUUCGAAGUUCACAGACGAACACUGCGUACUUAUAAUUAGUGUAGUUCAGCGUGAGACGGUCGUUGGGGAAGUGAUUUGACUCUGCACCAGGCGGUGUAGUCUUGUCGUGCUAGCAGAGCUCAUCAUCUGCUCAAAGUAGUCCAGAGAUUCCACAUUUGGAGGUAGGAGAAACGGCCUCCAACAUGCCUGGCUAUCAACUGGAGAUAUUUGAAGUCAGGGUUGAAGAAAAGUAUCUGUGCUCAGCAUGCCGCCUGGUGUUGCGGGAACCCUUCCAGACAUACUGUGGGCACAGAUACUGCAAGUCAUGCCUGGAUGAGAUCUUCAGGCUGCCAGGUAUCCAGAUGUGUAAGCAGUGCCCACAGGAUACACAGUCAGAGGACUCUCUGCUCAAGCGUGAUCAGG